This 1252-nucleotide ribosomal RNA is filed under the name metagenome. RNAcentral's name for it is "bacterial SSU rRNA". It matches the Rfam family "Bacterial small subunit ribosomal RNA", at positions 245 to 1486 of the family's 1533-position model. The record is from RNAcentral.
CUUGUUGGUAGGGUAAUGGCCUACCAAGGCGACGAUGGUUAGCUGGUCUGAGAGGAUGAUCAGCCACACUGGAACUGACACACGGUCCAGACUCCUACGGGAGGCAGCAGUGAGGAAUUUUGCGCAAUGGGGGAAACCCUGACGCAGCAACGCCGCGUGAGUGAUGAAGGCUUUCGGGUCGUAAAGCUCUGUCAAGUGGGAAGAACCCACAUGGUGAUAAUACCACCGUGUGCUGACGGUACCACUGAAGGAAGCACCGGCUAACUCCGUGCCAGCAGCCGCGGUAAUACGGGGGGUGCAAGCGUUAUUCGGAAUUACUGGGCGUAAAGAGCGCGUAGGCGGUCUCUUAAGUCAGCUGUGAAAGCCCGGGGCUCAACCCCGGAAGUGCACUUGAAACUAAGGGACUUGAGUAUGGGAGAGGGAAGUGGAAUUCCUGGUGUAGCGGUGAAAUGCGUAGAUAUCAGGAGGAACAUCGGUGGCGAAGGCGACUUCCUGGACCAAUACUGACGCUGAGGCGCGAAGGCGUGGGGAGCAAACAGGAUUAGAUACCCUGGUAGUCCACGCAGUAAACGGUGAACACUAGGUGUAGCGGGUAUUGACCCCUGCUGUGCCGCAGCUAACGCAUUAAGUGUUCCGCCUGGGGAGUACGACCGCAAGGUUAAGACUCAAAGGAAUUGACGGGGGCCCGCACAAGCGGUGGAGCAUGUGGUUUAAUUCGACGCAACGCGAAGAACCUUACCUGGAUUUGACAUCCCGGGAAUCUCUUGGAAACAUGAGAGUGCCCUUCGGGGAGCCCGGAGACAGGUGCUGCAUGGCUGUCGUCAGCUCGUGUCGUGAGAUGUUGGGUUAAGUCCCGCAACGAGCGCAACCCCUUUCUUUAGUUACCAUCAUUUAGUUGGGGACUCUAAAGAUACUGCCCCGGUUAACGGGGAGGAAGGUGGGGAUGACGUCAAGUCCUCAUGGCCUUUAUGUCCAGGGCUACACACGUGCUACAGUGGGCUGUACAAAGGGUUGCCAACCCGCGAGGGUGAGCUAAUCCCAUAAAGCAGUUCGUAGUUCGGAUUGGAGUCUGCAACUCGACUUCAUGAAGCUGGAAUCGCUAGUAAUCGUGGAUCAGCAUGCCACGGUGAAUACGUUCCCGGGCCUUGUACACACCGCCCGUCACACCAUGAGAGUUGGUUGUACCAGAAGUCGUUGGCAAACCCUUCGGGGAUGCAGGCGCCUAAGGUAUGACUGAUGAUUGGGGUGAAGC